This 1572-nucleotide ribosomal RNA is filed under the name metagenome. RNAcentral describes it as "bacterial LSU rRNA". It matches the Rfam family "Bacterial large subunit ribosomal RNA", at positions 1345 to 2911 of the family's 2925-position model. The record is from RNAcentral.
UUAAGGUUUCCUGAGGAAGGCUCGUCCGCUCAGGGUUAGUCGGGACCUAAGCCGAGGCCGAAAGGCGUAGGCGAUGGACAACAGGUUGAUAUUCCUGUACCACCUCCUCACCAUUUGAGCAAUGGGGGGACGCAGGAGGAUAGGGUAAGCGCGGUAUUGGAUAUCCGCGUCCAAGCAGUUAGGCUGGGAAAUAGGCAAAUCCGUUUCCCAUAAGGCUGAGCUGUGAUGGCGAGCGAAAUAUAGUAGCGAAGUUCCUGAUUCCACACUGCCAAGAAAAGCCUCUAGCGAGGUGAGAGGUGCCCGUACCGCAAACCGACACAGGUAGGCGAGGAGAGAAUCCUAAGGUGAUCGAGAGAACUCUCGUUAAGGAACUCGGCAAAAUGACCCCGUAACUUCGGGAGAAGGGGUGCUCUGUUAGGGUGCAAGCCCGAGAGAGCCGCAGUGAAUAGGCCCAGGCGACUGUUUAGCAAAAACACAGGUCUCUGCGAAGCCGUAAGGCGAAGUAUAGGGGCUGACGCCUGCCCGGUGCUGGAAGGUUAAGAGGAGCGCUUAGCGUAAGCGAAGGUGCGAAUUGAAGCCCCAGUAAACGGCGGCCGUAACAAUAACGGUCCUAAGGUAGCGAAAUUCCUUGUCGGGUAAGUUCCGACCCGCACGAAAGGCGCAACGAUCUGGGCACUGUCUCAACGAGAGACUCGGUGAAAUUAUAGUACCUGUGAAGAUGCAGGUUACCCGCGACAGGACGGAAAGACCCCGUGGAGCUUUACUGCAGCCUGAUAUUGAAUGUUGGUACAGCUUGUACAGGAUAGGUAGGAGCCUUGGAAACCGGAGCGCCAGCUUCGGUGGAGGCAUCGGUGGGAUACUACCCUGGCUGUAUUGACCUUCUAACCCGCCGCCCUUAUCGGGCGGGGAGACAGUGUCAGGUGGGCAGUUUGACUGGGGCGGUCGCCUCCUAAAAGGUAACGGAGGCGCCCAAAGGUUCCCUCAGAAUGGUUGGAAAUCAUUCGCAGAGUGUAAAGGCACAAGGGAGCUUGACUGCGAGACCUACAAGUCGAGCAGGGACGAAAGUCGGGCUUAGUGAUCCGGUGGUUCCGCAUGGAAGGGCCAUCGCUCAACGGAUAAAAGCUACCCCGGGGAUAACAGGCUUACCUCCCCCAAGAGUCCACAUCGACGGGGAGGUUUGGCACCUCGAUGUCGGCUCAUCGCAUCCUGGGGCUGUAGUCGGUCCCAAGGGUUGGGCUGUUCGCCCAUUAAAGCGGUACGCGAGCUGGGUUCAGAACGUCGUGAGACAGUUCGGUCCCUAUCCGUCGCGGGCGCAGGAAAUUUGAGAGGAGCUGUCCUUAGUACGAGAGGGCCGGGAUGGACGCACCGCUGGUGUACCAGUUGUUUUGCCAAGGGCAACGCUGGGUAGCUAUGUGCGGACGGGAUAAGUGCUGAAAGCAUCUAAGCAUGAAGCCCCCCUCAAGAUGAGAUUUCCCAUUCCGCAAGGAAGUAAGAUCCCUGAAAGAUGAUCAGGUUGAUAGGUCUGAGGUGGAAGUGUGGCGACACAUGGAGCUGACAGAUACUAAUCGAUCG